CAGCAGCCGCGGUAAUACGAAGGGUGCAAGUGUUAAUCGGAAUUACUGGGCGUAAAGCGUGCGUAGGCGGUGAGUUAAGUCUGCUGUGAAAUCCCCGGGCUCAACCUAGGAAUGGCAGUGGAUACUGGCUCGCUAGAGUGUGUCGGAGGACGGUGGAAUUCCCGGUGUAGCGGUGAAAUGCGUAGAGAUCGGGAGGAACAUCAGUGGCGAAGGCGGCCAUCUGGGACAACACUGACGCUGAGGCACGAAAGCGUGGGGAGCAAACAGGAUUAGAUACCCGAGUAGUCCCUGUCUCUUAUAC
RNAcentral lists this ribosomal RNA (301 nucleotides) under uncultured bacterium. RNAcentral describes it as "partial 16S ribosomal RNA". It matches the Rfam family "Bacterial small subunit ribosomal RNA", at positions 509 to 807 of the family's 1533-position model. The record is from RNAcentral.